UAUCUCUGUAGAGUCUGCAUAUCAAUAAGCGGAGGAAAAGAAACUAACUAGGAUUCCCUCAGUAACGGCGAGUGAAGCGGGAAGAGCUCAAAUUUGAAAUCUUCAAGGUUUUACCUUGACGAAUUGUAGUUUAAAGAAGUGUUUUCUGUUGGAGUUUUGGUAAAAGUUCUUUGGAAUAGGACAUCAUAGAGGGUGAGAAUCCCGUAUUUGACCAUUAUUUUCAGCUUUGUGAUACACUUUCAAAGAGUCGGAUUGUUUGGGAAUGCAGUCCAAAAUGGGUGGUAAAUUUCAUCUAAAGCUAAAUAUUGGCGAGAGACCGAUAGCGAACAAGUACCGUGAGGGAAAGAUGAAAAGAACUUUGAAAAGAGAGUUAAACAGUACGUGAAAUUGUCAAAAGGGAAGCGUUUGACACCAGUGUUGUUUUCUCGAAAAUCAAUUAAAAAAAGUUGGAUUUUGUGUUGUAUUGACCUUAACAGCUUUCUGCACUCUUUUCCUGCUUUUUUUUAAUGCACUUUUCGUUUAACAAGUCAACAUCAGUUUCUUUUGUUGUAAAAGGGUCAUUGGAAGGUGGCUUUCUUUUCGGAGAAAGUGUUUAUAGCCUUUGAUCUCUGCAAUCGGAGAGACUGAGGUCUGCAGCGUAGAUCCUUCGGGGCUAGAUACGUAGAUGCUAAGUUAUAGUUUUUUAUAGACAACUUGUUGACUAUAAUUAAUCAUGUAGCUUACUCGUUUGCGCUAUUUUACCUACGCUUAGGAUGUUGAUCUGUAGUGCGUGCGC
Molecule: ribosomal RNA, 775 nt
Filed under: uncultured Neocallimastigales
Lineage: Eukaryota; Fungi; Neocallimastigomycota; Neocallimastigomycetes; Neocallimastigales
Description: partial large subunit ribosomal RNA
Rfam family: Eukaryotic large subunit ribosomal RNA
Source: RNAcentral